AAUCCUGGCUCAGGAUGAACGCUAGCUACAGGCUUAACACAUGCAAGUCGAGGGGCAGCAUUUUAGUUUGCUUGCAAACUAAAGAUGGCGACCGGCGCACGGGUGAGUAACACGUAUCCAACCUGCCGAUAACUCAGGGAUAGCCUUUCGAAAGAAAGAUUAAUACCUGAUGGCAUAGGAUUAUCGCAUGAUGAUCCUAUUAAAGAAUUUCGGUUAUCGAUGGGGAUGCGUUCCAUUUAG
Molecule: ribosomal RNA, 240 nt
Filed under: uncultured bacterium
Lineage: Bacteria
Description: partial 16S ribosomal RNA
Rfam family: Bacterial small subunit ribosomal RNA
Source: RNAcentral